This 897-nucleotide ribosomal RNA is filed under the name Biscogniauxia sp. JYZ-2023a. Its description in RNAcentral is "partial large subunit ribosomal RNA". It matches the Rfam family "Eukaryotic large subunit ribosomal RNA", at positions 42 to 967 of the family's 3401-position model. Lineage: Eukaryota; Fungi; Ascomycota; Sordariomycetes; Xylariales; Xylariaceae. The record is from RNAcentral.
UUCAAUAGCGGAGGAAAAGAAACCAACAGGGAUUGCCCUAGUAACGGCGAGUGAAGCGGCAACAGCUCAAAUUUGAAAUCUGGCCUUCGGGUCCGAAUUGUAAUUUGCAGAGGAUGCUUUUGGCGAGGUGCCUUCCGAGUUCCCUGGAACGGGACGCCUUAGAGGGUGAGAGCCCCGUACGGUUGGACAUUAAGCCUCUGUAAAGCUCCUUCGACGAGUCGAGUAGUUUGGGAAUGCUGCUCUAAAUGGGAGGUAAAUUUCUUCUAAAGCUAAAUACCGGCCAGAGACCGAUAGCGCACAAGUAGAGUGAUCGAAAGAUGAAAAGCACUUUGAAAAGAGGGUUAAAUAGCACGUGAAAUUGUUGAAAGGGAAGCGUUUACGGCCAGACCUUUUCCUAGCGGAUCAUCUAGUGUUUUCACUGGUGCACUUCGCUAGGUUUAGGCCAGCAUCGGCUUCUGUAGAGGGAUAAAAGCAGUGGGAAAGUAGCUCUUUAGGGAGUGUUAUAGCCCUAAGCAUAAUACCUUUAUAGGGGCCGAGGACCGCGCUUCGGCAAGGAUGCUGGCGUAAUGGUCGUUAACGACCCGUCUUGAAACACGGACCAAGGAGUCGAACAUUUGUGCGAGUGUUUGGGUGUUAAACCCUCACGCGUAAUGAAAGUGAACGGAGGUGAGAGCCCUUUAGGGGGUGCAUCAUCGACCGAUCCUGAUGUUUUCGGAUGGAUUUGAGUAAGAGCAUUAAUGUUCGGACCCGAAAGAUGGUGAACUAUGCGUGGAUAGGGUGAAGCCAGAGGAAACUCUGGUGGAGGCUCGCAGCGGUUCUGACGUGCAAAUCGAUCGUCAAAUCUGCGCAUGGGGGCGAAAGACUUAUCGAACCAUCUAGUAGCUGGUUACGGCGAGU